RNAcentral lists this ribosomal RNA (2349 nucleotides) under Dictyterina cholodkowskii. RNAcentral describes it as "SSU rRNA". It matches the Rfam family "Eukaryotic small subunit ribosomal RNA". The record is from RNAcentral. Lineage: Eukaryota; Metazoa; Platyhelminthes; Cestoda; Cyclophyllidea; Paruterinidae.
CUAUGGUUUAUUGGAUCGUACCCGUUAAAUGGAUAACUGUAAUAACUCUAGAGCUAAUACAUGCCUCGAUGCCCUGACUCUGGGUGCUCCGCUUGCCGUCAGGUGGGUGAGCAGACGGGGGAUGGGUGCACUUAUUAGAUCAGAAGCCAACCAAUUGUGCGUGGGCGGUCGCAAGGCCGCGACGCGCAUUGAAGCACUUCUGGUGACUCUGGAUAAUUGUUACAGAUCGCAGUCGGCCCUGAGUCGGCGACGGGUCCUUCAAAUGUCUGCCCUAUCAACUUUCGAUGGUAGGUGACCUGCCUACCAUGGUGAUAACGGGUAACGGGGAAUCAGGGUUCGAUUCCGGAGAGGGAGCCUGAGAAACGGCUACCACUUCCAAGGGAGGCAGCAGGCGCGCAAAUUACCCACUCCCAGCACGGGGAGGUGGUGACGAAAAAUACCGAUGCGGGACUCCCUAAAGAGGCUCCGUAAUCGGAAUGAGUGGACUCUAAAUCCUUUCACGAGGAUCGAUUGGAGGGCAAGUCUGGUGCCAGCAGCCGCGGUAACUCCAGCUCCAAUAGCGUAUAUUAAAGUUGCUGCAGUUAAAAAGCUCGUAGUUGGAUCUCGGUGGCAUUAUUGCCUGUUGGUAUUUGAGCGGCUGGUGUGUGGCUGUCGACGCGCGGUCUCAGCGUCUGCUCGGUCGGUUGGUUGGGGGGGCGACAGGCGGAUUGGCUGGGUCAGCCGGUCAGAUGAUUGGUCCGUUGGUUCGUUAGUCGGUCGGUUGGUUGGUUGGUUGCCGGUCUGUCUGCGCGUGCGUCGGCGUGCCGGUGUGCGUUAGUAGGCGCCGGUUGAUCACUGGUCGGUCACUGGCGUGGAUCGCGCUGCACUGAACUGAUCUGGUGUGGUUCGCUUUCGGCCUCCCGUCGGCGUCUGUGGCGUUCGUUGUGGCGGUGUUGUCGCGGUCAUUGAUUAGCACCGUCGUGUCAAGCCGGCUAGGCGGUGGUGUCAUCUUUAAGCCAUGUCUGUGGUGUGACAGCUGCAGGUGUAGGCGGGUGUUGGGCAGUGCUCUGCACACGCUGCGGGGUCUGUCGGCCUGCCUGCAUGCCUCUGGAUGCCCUUCAAAAGGUGUCUGUAGGCGGAUGGCACGUUUACUUUGAACAAAUUUGAGUGCUCAAGUCAGGCCGAUGUUGCCUGAAAAGUUUUGCAUGGAAUAAUGGAAUAGGACUUCGGUUCUAUUUCGUUGGUUUUCGGAUCCGAAGUAAUGAUCAAAAGAGACAGGCGGGGACGUUUGUAUGGCUGCGCUAGAGGUGAAAUUCAUGGACCGUAGCCAGACAAACUAAAGCGAAAGCAUUCGUCAAGCAUGUUUUCAUUGGCCAUGAGCGAAAGUCAGAGGCUCGAAGACGAUCAGAUACCGUCCUAGUUCUGACCAUAAACGAUGCCAACUGACGAUCCGUGGUGGUAGUGCUUCAACCUUCCCCACGGGCAGUCCCCGGGAAACCUUUAAGUCUUUGGGUUCCGGGGGAAGUAUGGUUGCAAAGCUGAAACUUAAAGGAAUUGACGGAAGGGCACCACCAGGAGUGGAGCCUGCGGCUUAAUUUGACUCAACACGGGAAAACUCACCCGGGCCGGACACUAUGAGGAUUGACAGAUUGAUAGCUCUUUCUUGAUUUGGUGGUUGGUGGUGCAUGGCCGUUCUUAGUUGGUGGAGCGAUUUGUCUGGUUAAUUCCGAUAACGAACGAGACUCCAGCCUGCUAAUUAGUGCGUUUGUCCACUGCGUCUGUGUAGGCGGCGCCGGGCGAGGCUGCUACUGGGGACGCAUGCGCGGCCUCCUGCGUCGCCGUGCUCUCGCGGUCUGGCUGGGCGGGUUUCGGCUCGUCGUCGUGGUCGACUGUGGGGCUGGGGCUGGCUGCGGGGGUGGUGUUGUGCGUCUUUGGUUGGUUGGUCCGUGUGUCUGGCGUUAGCUUCCGGAUGCGGCGCGAAUGCUUACUUCUUAGAGGGACAAGCGGGAGAAGCCGCACGAAAUAGAGCAAUAACAGGUCUGUGAUGCCCUUAGAUGUCCGGGGCCGCACGCGCGCUACAAUGACGGUGUCAACGAGUCAGACCUUCUGGCCCGAGAGGGUUGGGCAAACUGGUCAAUCACCGUCAUGACAGGGAUCGGGGCUUGGAAUUGUUCCCCGUGAACGAGGAAUUCCUAGUAAGUGCAAGUCAUAAGCUUGCGCUGAUUACGUCCCUGCCCUUUGUACACACCGCCCGUCGCUACUACCGAUUGAAUGGUUUAGUAAGGUCCUUGGAUUGGCGCCAUUGUGGCAAUCUCCGAGAGGUGGUAGCCCGACAGGCGCUGAGAAGACGACCGAACUUGAUCAUUUAGA